GUGGAUGUGACUCAGUGGUAGAGUGUUUGCCUUGUAUGUGUGAGGCCUGGGUUCCAUCCCCACAUCCCUA
Molecule: transfer RNA, 70 nt
Filed under: Ictidomys tridecemlineatus (thirteen-lined ground squirrel)
Lineage: Eukaryota; Metazoa; Chordata; Mammalia; Rodentia; Sciuridae
Description: Spermophilus tridecemlineatus (thirteen-lined ground squirrel) tRNA
Rfam family: tRNA
About the family: Transfer RNA (tRNA) molecules are approximately 80 nucleotides in length. Their secondary structure includes four short double-helical elements and three loops (D, anti-codon, and T loops).
Source: Rfam by way of RNAcentral